Molecule: transfer RNA, 76 nt
Filed under: Nitrospirota bacterium
Lineage: Bacteria; Pseudomonadati; Nitrospirota
Also listed under: 2 other names
Description: Nitrospirae bacterium (marine sediment metagenome) tRNA-Thr
Rfam family: tRNA
About the family: Transfer RNA (tRNA) molecules are approximately 80 nucleotides in length. Their secondary structure includes four short double-helical elements and three loops (D, anti-codon, and T loops).
Source: RNAcentral
GCCGGCGUAGCUCAGUUGGUAGAGCAGCUGAUUUGUAAUCAGCCGGUCGGGGGUUCGAGUCCCUUCGCUGGCUCCA